CUGCUAUGAUGACUUCUUAGGACACCUUUGGAUUACUCAUGAAAACAAACUAAUGAAAGAUCUGAGCUAC
RNAcentral lists this small nucleolar RNA (70 nucleotides) under Mola mola (ocean sunfish). RNAcentral's name for it is "Small nucleolar RNA SNORD58 (ENSMMOG00000011327.1)". It matches the Rfam family "Small nucleolar RNA SNORD58". From Rfam's summary of the family: snoRNA U58 is found in introns 1, 3 and 6 of the ribosomal protein RPL17 gene in humans. Lineage: Eukaryota; Metazoa; Chordata; Actinopteri; Tetraodontiformes; Molidae. The record is from Rfam by way of RNAcentral.